AUUGUUGCAGUUAAAAAGCUCGUAGUUGAUAGUCGGGGGAUGGAACCUCUUUAUUGAAGUUUCCGGAACCUAGGCCUGUACUUGUGCAGGCCAGUUACUUUGAGAAAAUUAGAGCGCUUAAAGCAGUCAUUGAAUACGUUAGCAUGGAAUAACAGAAGGACGACGUUUCUUUUGUGGGAACAUCGUAAUUGAUUAACAGGGACAGUCGGGGGCAUCAGUAUUCAGGAGCUAGAGGUGAAAUUCUUGGAUUUCCUGAAGACUAACUAGUGCGAAAGCAUUUGCCAAGGAUGUCUUCAUUAAUCAAGAACGAAAGUUAGGGGAUCGAAGACGAUCAGAUACCGUCGUAGUCUUAACAGUAAACUAUGCCGAUAGAGUGGAGGAUGGACGAUCAAAUCUAUUCUCCGCUCAAGCGAAAGCAGUUGGUUCUGGGGGGAGUAUGGUCGCAAGGCUGAAACUUAAAGGAAUUGACGGAAGGGCACCACCAGGAGUGGAGCCUGCGGCUUAAUUUGACUCAACACGGGGAAACUCACCAGGUCCAGACACAAUGAGGAUUGACAGAUUGAGAGCUCUUUCAUGAUUUUGUGGGUGGUGGUGCAUGGCCGUUCUUAGUUGGUGGAGUGAUUUGUCUG
This 629-nucleotide ribosomal RNA is filed under the name uncultured eukaryote. RNAcentral's name for it is "SSU rRNA". It matches the Rfam family "Eukaryotic small subunit ribosomal RNA", at positions 609 to 1317 of the family's 1831-position model. The record is from RNAcentral.